Molecule: long non-coding RNA, 2025 nt
Filed under: Hordeum vulgare
Lineage: Eukaryota; Viridiplantae; Streptophyta; Magnoliopsida; Poales; Poaceae
Description: long non-coding RNA (HVUL_LNC004848)
Source: RNAcentral
GAGAAGAUGAGAGUGGUCAGCUAAAUAAUCAGAGGGCGACCGUACCGGCAUAGCUGAACCGUUGAAAUUACCCUCCUACAGAUAAUCACAGCUCCUCUGUAGCGGACAAGCUACCUCAUCCACAACAUCUGCUGCCUCAAUUCCAAGAUCUGGUUGCUGCCUCUACAAAUCUCGCCAACGGGUUAGUCAUUUGCCUGAAUCCUUCCUUGACGGAAUCCUCAAUAGAUAAAGCCGCUCCAGUCCCUUCCAAAUAUAUCCUUUGAUUUCAACAAAUUUAAGUAGCAUAUGGAAAGGAGUUCAAACGAGCUCGGCGUCAUGUUGGAGGUGGGGAGAACUCGAAGCAAAUGAGUCUAGACGAGCUUGUUAUAUUGUGCCACCACGGAAACAACUUGAUGCAAUGGUUUGGACAGGUUUGUACUUACAAGGGGUACUCCUUUUUUUCUUCUUUUUUACAAUUUUGUCGAUAUUAUGGUGGCAUUUUGGAGGCUUUUGAAUUUUCUGUUAAUUUCAGAAUAUCAGGUAGUAGGUCAUUGCAGUAGUUAAAACAUCAUUUAUCUUAGAUCCUCACUCGAGGUUAUUACUUUUGAGUUUCACAUGGUAGGUUAUUUAUAAAUUGAAUUUUGGGAAAUCAUGAUGCUAAAUAUAUGGAUUGUGUUAGUUAGCUAAUCAACUAGCACUUGGCUGUGUAUGAUGUCAUUAUGGCAAUGAAAAUACAUUUUCAAACUGAUAGUAUUUGUGUUGUUUAGUUUUGAUGGAGAGUAUAGCAGCAUGCUCAAUGUCUUCCGCUUUAUGUAUGAGAUCGGGUUCAUUUUUCUUGCUUAUAAUAAUUACCUAAAUACAUACAUGGGCAUUUAAAAAUAUCUUUGCAAUUAUGCCACGUGUGAAAAAAUUUCAAAGAUGAUGAUAUAAAGUGGUGGCUGAUUUUCUAAUUCGUGUUUGCCUCAUGGAUUCUUAUUUAUCUCAACUUCCAUUUACUCAAGACAAUAACAACUUUGGUAGAGAAACUUCUAUUUUGUUCUUUUCUUUGUUAUAUGAUACAACACAAGAAACCUGAUUUAUUCACGAAAAUGGUUGGUUUGAAGCUCGAAAGCUCAUACCGAGUUGGCUUUUUUCCCAGCUUCAUGACGAAGUAAAAGAAGAGCUUAUGACAGAAGAAACAUGAUUGGUUGGGCGUCCUUGCCAGCGACCUCGCAGUCUCCAACCCACCCAUAGGUAUUGCAGCUCCUUCCAAUCCAGUUUACUCCUUUUUGAUAAUUUCCUUACUUGAGCCUUAGAGAUAGGCACUGAAUCGGCUAUUGCUCGGAGAAUUUCCUUUUAACACAUACUCGAGGGAAGGAGGAUCUUUAGUAUUUUGAAUUAUCAGUUAAAUUUGGUUAGUUGUGAGAUGCUUAUGAUUCUGGCUUCAUUCACAACCAUUCAUAUGGUUUAUUCGGUUUGGUUGGUCGCUGUUGGUACUUGCAUGCCAUCUGAUUAUGUGGUAGAAUGUGCUUCCGAACUGUGCGUGGGGCCGGGUGUUGUCAGCCAGACCUGGGCGUCCUCGCCGGCGACUUGCUAUCUAACCCAUCCGUAGGUUUCCUGUCUCUUUGAUAUUCAUGUCCAUGUCCAUGAUUUGGUCUAUCUUGGUUAGCUCUAUUUAUUUCACUGUCAUUGCACAAACUUUGUUAUUAUGUAUACUGCAGCACUGAGCUUUCAAUUAUUUUACCCAGUUUAACACAUACUCGAGGGAAGGAGGAUAUAACGGUGCAAUGGAUGGACUAUCAAGAGGUCAAUCGUGAGAGUAUAUGCCAACUAUCUUAGGUGCAUAUGGCAUGAUACUAACGACCCGUGCAGUUCCUCCCUGAAUGUUUGCUUGCUGACUGCGAGGCGGCCUUCUUCCAUCAGAUAUUGUUGUGCAUUGAUAAUUUUGUUAGUUCUCAUACUCCCUGUUCAAAAAAAAUUCUAGCAUAUUACGUGUUGUAUGUAUAUAAGAAGCUUCGUCGUGUGUCAUGCUUUGCAAAUAAAACUCAUUCAAAUAUUAUUGGCAGC